AGCGAACGCUGGCGGCAGGCCUAACACAUGCAAGUCGAACGGACCCUUCGGGGUUAGUGGCGGACGGGUGAGUAACACGUGGGAACGUGCCUUUAGGUUCGGAAUAGCUCCUGGAAACGGGUGGUAAUGCCGAAUGUGCCCUUCGGGGGAAAGAUUUAUCGCCUUUAGAGCGGCCCGCGUCUGAUUAGCUAGUUGGUGAGGUAACGGCUCACCAAGGCGACGAUCAGUAGCUGGUCUGAGAGGAUGACCAGCCACACUGGGACUGAGACACGGCCCAGACUCCUACGGGAGGCAGCAGUGGGGAAUCUUGCGCAAUGGGCGAAAGCCUGACGCAGCCAUGCCGCGUGAAUGAUGAAGGUCUUAGGAUUGUAAAAUUCUUUCACCGGGGACGAUAAUGACGGUACCCGGAGAAGAAGCCCUGGCUAACUUCGUG
RNAcentral lists this ribosomal RNA (433 nucleotides) under uncultured bacterium. RNAcentral describes it as "partial 16S ribosomal RNA". It matches the Rfam family "Bacterial small subunit ribosomal RNA", at positions 29 to 507 of the family's 1533-position model. The record is from RNAcentral.